UGCAGACGUUGCUUCUAGAGAGUCAGAAGC
Molecule: non-coding RNA, 30 nt
Filed under: Homo sapiens (human)
Lineage: Eukaryota; Metazoa; Chordata; Mammalia; Primates; Hominidae
Source: RNAcentral